RNAcentral lists this ribosomal RNA (253 nucleotides) under uncultured bacterium. RNAcentral describes it as "partial 16S ribosomal RNA". It matches the Rfam family "Bacterial small subunit ribosomal RNA", at positions 524 to 776 of the family's 1533-position model. The record is from RNAcentral.
UACGUAGGUGGCAAGCGUUGUCCGGAUUUACUGGGCGUAAAGGAUGCGUAGGCGGACAUUUAAGUCAGAUGUGAAAUACCCGAGCUUAACUUGGGUGCUGCAUUUGAAACUGGGUGUCUAGAGUGCGGGAGAGGUAAGUGGAAUUCCUAGUGUAGCGGUGAAAUGCGUAGAGAUUAGGAAGAACACCAGUGGCGAAGGCGACUUACUGGACUGUAACUGACGCUGAGGCAUGAAAGCGUGGGGAGCAAACAGG